GGGGAAAUGGACAUGGGUGAACUCAGAAAAUUUACUGAUGUUUGAUUUACAGGUGAAGCAAGGGAAGAGCAGUAAAAUGUGAUCCAGAGACAGAACGAGAACAGACAUUUGCUGAUGCAGUUCCAACGUGACUUGGAAGUUACCAAUUCUACCUCACAGAUAAAAACACCGAGGAGACAGAAUGGUGAUCACUCGGGGAUGUUUAUGGUUUUACGUGUAGGUAACUGGCAUCUAUCUAUCUAUCUAUAUGCAUGUAUAUCUAUUCACCAAUGUUUCCAUCACAGGAAGCCUGUGUCCUUCACAGGGAUCUAUA
This 313-nucleotide long non-coding RNA is filed under the name Mustela putorius furo (domestic ferret). RNAcentral's name for it is "lncRNA (ENSMPUG00000025204.1)". The record is from RNAcentral. Lineage: Eukaryota; Metazoa; Chordata; Mammalia; Carnivora; Mustelidae.